CUGCUGCUACUCUCAUUUCACAGAUGCGGCUACAGAGAGGUUAAGCACCUCCACGUUCACACAGCUAAUAAGCCACAGAGCAGGGCUGAGAACCGGCGUUUCCAGAGCCUCUGCUGUGGGGCCACACGGAGUUCCCACCAACCCUGCAGUGCAGCUCUUCCCCGGUGGGAACGGGAGCCCAGAACUCUGCACCUGCGCUGCUGGCACCAACAGGGGCCAUAAAAUGUCACCACUGCCGAGGUGCAAUUUUCAAGAGGGUCCUCGGUGGCGGGGAAUCACCGCGCGAAGGGCCCACGGCUCAGUGCGGGGCUGGGGGAAGCUGCGACAGCGAGGAGGCCUUCCGACCUCCUUCCCUUCGAGCUUCUGAGCACCCCCCUUCCCCCGCUUUGUAAACCAGCAGUGGCACGUGGUCCGAGCUUCCCGAGGGGUGGGUCGGGGGUGCUGCAUCAGUUACUUCAGCCUGAGGAGCUUUUGACCAAACGUAAACAUCGCAGGGACCGGAGCCGCAGCCCCGCCCGGGCUCGGCGGCGACAGCGACCCGGACGCCGCGGCGGCUGCGAGCGCCCCUCCCCCCUCCGGCCCGCGAGCCCAUUUUCGCUUGGCCGGUCCCAGCGCUGCGGGAUGGAUCGCGCCCCACCCCCGCUCCUCUGCUCA
Molecule: long non-coding RNA, 654 nt
Filed under: Heterocephalus glaber (naked mole-rat)
Lineage: Eukaryota; Metazoa; Chordata; Mammalia; Rodentia; Bathyergidae
Description: lncRNA (ENSHGLG00100036545.1)
Source: RNAcentral